Molecule: ribosomal RNA, 2601 nt
Filed under: Triticum aestivum (bread wheat)
Lineage: Eukaryota; Viridiplantae; Streptophyta; Magnoliopsida; Poales; Poaceae
Description: partial small subunit ribosomal RNA
Source: RNAcentral
AUGGAGGUUGCCGUGGUGGUUGGGCCGAUAGUGAGGCUGCUGCCGAAGCUCCUAUCGGUGGUAGAUGGGAAGAGGAAGCAGCUGGACAACCUGGAGGUCGACGCUGGAUUCAUCCGCCGCGACCUGCAGUCGAUCCAAGAAAUCAUUGGCCGCUCCAGUGGCGGCAGACCCAUCACGGACCUCUGGAUCCGAGACCUCAGGCGCUUGGCCGACGACAUGGAAGACUGCAUCGACCGCUUCCAGGUCGGGAAGAUGAGCAGAAUCCGGUUCGUCGGGAAGAUCGCCAGACUGAAGAAGCGGUCCAAGGAUACGCUCGAGCAGUUACAGAACUUCAUCAGCAUCGCCGGCGCACCUCCGGCUGCACCUGACCACCCCGCGGGGGGCACCGAGGAUCCGGAGGAGCAACUUCUUGCUCUGCUUACGCGGAGCCAGUCGGAGGCGCGGCGGGGGGAGCUCAAGGUAAUCACCGUCGCCGGCUUCGGUGGAGUAGGUAUGACCCGCCUUGCCCACAAGGUUUACAGUGACAGGGAUGUGCGCAGCCAGUUCCCUCUGCACGCCUGGGUUCGUGCGGCGCCGGGCAUCAACCUUCUUCAGGAGAUACACGACCAACUGCUACCAAUUCUCACCAAGAGGCAAGCCGAACAUGGUGCGAGUUCCUCCAGCUCCAAAAGCAUACCACAAGUCAACGGAGACGUCGAACAUGGCGCGAUUGACCAUCGGCUCGCCGGACUACUCAAGACCACAAGGUAUUUGAUUGUGAUUGAUGGCGUGAAUACACAUGAGUUGUGUGGCAUACUAUCUUCCAUUUCUUGGGCUGAUGGAGUGGACGGCAGAAUUAUCAUGACGACGGCCAUUCAGCUACCAGCAGCGACAUGCUGCAGAUGUGGUGACGGUUCUUCACUUGCUAUGGGUAGCACAAGCCAGGUUUUCAUCGGAGAGCUGACCGAGAGUGGAUUUGUGGAGGCCUGCCACCAUCUUCGUGAUGACACACUAGCAAGAAUGCAGCGCAGCAACAACGAGAUCCUAUCCAACCCUGUUGUCCAGGACUUGUUGCUGUAUUUCUGCAUAUUUCCACGAGACCAUCCUGUCAAGAGGAAUCCCCUGAUAAGGCGAUGGCUGGCUGAAGGACUUGUUUUUCCUCAACAAGAAACAGAGUGUUUUUCCCAGGAUGUUGCGGCCAAGAAUUUGGAGAGCCUAAUCAGCCGCGACGUCAUUCAGCCCAUUCAAAAUUUCAUCACCAUGUUGUGUGGUAGCAAGACGACAGAGAAGGAUCCGCCGGGCAAAGAUAUCCGCCGGCUUUCCCUCCAUCUUAACAGUGCGGCAAAUGGGCCCCGGAAUUUACCAAAGGAUUUAUCACGUCUCCACAGUCUGGCAGUUUUCCCUGAUGACGCGAAUAUCACAAGGCAUCAACCUAAUUUGAACUAUGCCAAGUAUAAGCUACUGAGAGUUUUGGAUCUGAAGGAAUGCGCUGAUGUGAGAGCAAAACAUGUUGGCAAAAUUUGUGACCUGUUGCUGCUCAAAUAUCUGAGCUUUGGAGACAGUGUUGAUGAGGUUCCAAGGAAAAUAGCGAAGCUGAAAUGGUUAGAGACUCUCGACAUGAGGAGAACCAAGGUAGUGACGUUGCCAAUUGAAGUCUUCCAGCUCCCUGGGUUGAAACACCUUCUUGGAAAGUUUCAGCUAGCUGAAGGUGACAGCACACAGAAGCUAGAGGAGCUCUUGACAAAAGAUAGUGAGCUGCAGAGGCUUUCUGGAUUUGUCAUCGGCAAAAGCGAAGAGUUUGCACAGUUGAUGGGCCACAUGGCGAAGUUGAGGAAGGUGAAGAUAUGGUGCGAUUCCACUGCAGAUGUGACGAAACUGGCUCAUGUUUUAGGAGCCACGAAGAAAUUCAUUCGCGAUGGCAUGGACAUGACAAGAGUUGAUCGUUCCUUGUCUAUCGACUUCCAAGGGUGCCCAACAGAAUGCUCAGAACAAUUCAUGGAUUCUCUGCAAGCCGAAGGCCGUCUUACCUCACUGAAAUUGUGUGGCAAGUUGACGCGACUCCCUCAGUUCCAUGCAAAUACGAACUAUAUCGAGGAGCUGUGCCUCUCAAGGACUAAUCUGAGAGGGGACACAAUCCUAAGCGGCCUGUCUGCACUGAGAAUGAAACUGAAAUAUCUCAAGCUGGUAGAAGAUGAGCUUGGUCAGUUGGUCAUAAAACCAGAGCAUUUCCGAAGCCUGAGGGGGUUAUGCCUGGUGGGCGAGCGGAGUAUGGAGGACAUAACAAUCCAAGAUGAAGCUGUGCCCUACCUUGUCUCACUUCAUAUAUUUUGUGAAGCUCUAGGUGAUCUUCCUGGCAUCGACAUCACACACAUGGCAAGGCUAAAAGAAGUCGCGCUCCAUUCUGGAGUACAAGAGACAAUAAAGGAUGGGUGGCAGGCAGCUGCAAUGAACCAUCCUAACAGGCCCAAAGUUUUGUUCAUCCAUCCUGCUAAUUCCCGGCAGAGAGACCCUCCGAUGUUGUGCGGAGCAACAGGGGAAACUGCAAAUUGGACGAAGCCAAUUGGGAGAAAAUUUGCCACCUCCAUCAUGGGGGGCAUCUUUUGUUGUGUACGGCCAUCCUGA